AAGUCGUAACAAGGUUUCCGUAGGUGAACCUGCGGAAGGAUCAUCAAAAAAGAUGGCGUUUGUUUACUCUCUUUUCCGAGGUGGCAAGCGUCGUUUCAUCUUUUGUGCACUUGUCUGUGGAUUUCUGUUUUGGUUGCGGCGGCAGAGUUGGAUGUCGUGUGUGCCUAGCGCAUGCACGGCGUUCCACUUCUGUCCGCGGGCCUCACAGACCUCAUCACACACUUGAAUCUUUGUCUAAACUCGGUGACUCGCUUGCGAGCACGCCAAACAUAACAAAAAAUAACUUUUAACAACGGAUCUCUUGGCUCUCC
Molecule: unclassified non-coding RNA, 311 nt
Filed under: fungal sp.
Lineage: Eukaryota; Fungi
Description: partial internal transcribed spacer region
Rfam family: Eukaryotic small subunit ribosomal RNA (bases 1-46)
Source: RNAcentral